This 460-nucleotide ribosomal RNA is filed under the name uncultured bacterium. RNAcentral describes it as "partial 16S ribosomal RNA". It matches the Rfam family "Bacterial small subunit ribosomal RNA", at positions 338 to 795 of the family's 1533-position model. The record is from RNAcentral.
CCUACGGGAGGCAGCAGUGAGGAAUAUUGGUCAAUGGACGAGAGUCUGAACCAGCCAAGUAGCGUGAAGGAUGACUGCCCUAUGGGUUGUAAACUUCUUUUAUAUGGGAAUAAAAUGUUCCACGUGUGGGAUUUUGUAUGUACCAUAUGAAUAAGGAUCGGCUAACUCAGUGCCAGCAGCCGCGGUAAUACGGAGGAUCCGAGCGUUAUCCGGAUUUAGUGGGUUUAAAGGGAGCGUAGGUGGAUUGUUAAGGCAGUUGUGAAAGUUUGCGGCUCAACCGUAAAAUUGCAGUUGAAACUGGCAGUCUUGAGUACAGUAGAGGUGGGCGGAAUUCGUGGUGUAGCGGUGAAAUGCUUAGAUAUCACGAAGAACUCCGAUUGCGAAGGCAGCUCACUGGACUGCAACUGACACUGAGGCUCGAAAGUGUGGGUAUCAAACAGGAUUAGAUACCCUUGUAGUC